GCGUCGGUAGUGCAACGGUUGAGCACGUGCCCUUGAAUAGAUUGAAAUGUGGGUUCAAAUCCCAGCUGACGCA
Molecule: non-coding RNA, 73 nt
Organism: Parelaphostrongylus tenuis
Lineage: Eukaryota; Metazoa; Nematoda; Chromadorea; Rhabditida; Metastrongylidae
Source: the annotation of a GenBank genome assembly